GACGUGCAUUUCCUUGACGUUAGCAAGCAAGACACACCCCAGCGAAGGGAUACAUUAAGCCUGUGCUGGUGUGGUUACAAGGCUCUGCUCCCAUGGGUUCAGCUUACCUGCAGCAAUAUAUUAUCCAGUGGAGAGCUUCCCAUCCUGUGUGCCUUGACAGCAAAUAACAGUGAAGAACAGAGACCAGCUGCGUCGUUCGUGCCUCUCCCUCCAGAAGCCAUUUCUCCGGUUCAGGAUGCCAGCUGCAGGGAGCCGCGCGGGGAAUGACAAUGCCCUAUGCAAAUACAACGCAUCAGCCGUAAAGCUGCUCCACAGCCCCCGCCCCUGCUGGAAGCACAGGAGGAGGCAGGAAGGCAAAGCCUGGCCCUGGGAGGGGCCACAGCUCCCUUGGUGCAACUGGGAGGCAGACAUUGACUGCAGGAGGUGGCAUGAACUCAGUGUUGGCAUUGAGCUACAGCAGUGAGGGACAAAAUGACACGGAGACCCAGAAUGAGGAAUCUCCAGUGGGAAAUUAUCAUCAUGUAAAUGUGAAAGAUGGGAAUCACUUCCACUGGAGUUUCAAGGACAGA
Molecule: long non-coding RNA, 569 nt
Organism: Pipra filicauda (Wire-tailed manakin)
Lineage: Eukaryota; Metazoa; Chordata; Aves; Passeriformes; Pipridae
Exons: 4
Source: RefSeq, a predicted model, not a curated record